RNAcentral lists this ribosomal RNA (1269 nucleotides) under metagenome. RNAcentral describes it as "SSU rRNA". It matches the Rfam family "Eukaryotic small subunit ribosomal RNA", at positions 366 to 1801 of the family's 1831-position model. The record is from RNAcentral.
GCAAUUAGGGUUUGAUUUCGGAGAGGGAGCCUGAGAAACGGCUACCACAUCUACGGAUGGCAGCAGGCGCGCAAAUUACCCAAUGCAGACACUGUGAGGUAGUGACGAGAAAUAAUAAAGUGGGGCGCAAGUCUCGCUAUUAUAAUGAGGAAUAACUAAAGAUCAUUCCUAUUAGCAACUGAUGGGAAAGUCUGGUGCCAGCAGCCGCGGUAAUACCAGCUUCAGUAGCAUAUAUUAACAUUGUUGCAGUUAAAACGUCCGUAGUCUGUACGUCGUCCGAGACUUUACUACAAUGCUACAUGCUUUUCAUUGAGUGUGCAGUUUUUUGUAGUUGCUCCCUUGAUCAAAAUAGAUUGCUCAGGGUAGACAUGGUCUUCAUAUCAUCACAUGGAAUUGGGUGAGGGAACUUAAGAGUUUAAGUUUCUCGUCUUAGGAUCAUCUGGGGUCAUUCGUACUCGUCCGCGAGAGGUGAAAUUCUUGGACCGGACGAAGACGAUCAGCAGCGAAAGCAUCUGUCAGGGAUGCUUUCUGCGACAAAGGACGAAGGUCAGGGUAUCGAAGACGAUUAGAUACCGUCGUAGUCCUGACUGUAAACUAUGCCGACUGGGGUCUUGCAGAGUUGAUACUUUGUGAGACCCACACAGAAAUGAAAGUGUAUGGGUUCUGGGGGUAGUAUGGACACAAGUCGAAACUUGAAGGAAUUGACGGAAGAGCACCAUAAGACGUGGAGCUUGCGGCUUAAUUUGACACAACGCGGGAAAACUUACCAGGUCAAGACAUGGGCGUGAUUGACAGGCUAAUGACCUUUCUCGAUUCCUUGGAUGGUGGUGCAUGGUCGCACUUAGUUGGUGCAGUGAUUUGUCAGGUUUAUUCCGGUAACGAACGAGACCUCGGCCUUGUAAAUAGCCUUAUUGCUUCUUACAGGGACAAUGUCGGCUACGUCAAGGAAGUUCGAGGCAAUUGCAGAUCUGGAAUGCCCUUAGAUGUCCUGGGUCGCACGCGUGCUACAAUGACGCCAUGAACGAGUUUAUGCGAUGAAAGUCGUGUAAAAUCACUAAUCGUCGUCUUAAGGGACAGUCUCUUGUAACUGUGGGACUCUAACUAGGAAUGUCUCGUAAGCACAAGUCAACAUCUUGUGUUGAUUACGUCCCUGCUCUUUGUACACACCGCCCGUCGCUCCUACCGAUCGAGUGUUUAGAUGAAUUUGACGGACUUCUGGAAGUUAAAUAAAUCUGAGCACUUAGAGGAAGGAGAAGUCGUAACAAGGUU